GAUGAAGAACGCAGCGAAAUGCGAUAAGUAAUGUGAAUUGCAGAAUUCAGUGAAUCAUCGAAUCUUUGAACGCACAUUGCGCCCGCCAGCAUUCUGGCGGGCAUGCCUGUUCGAGCGUCAUUUCAACCCUCGAGCCCCCCCGGGGGCCUCGGUGUUGGGGGACGGCACACCAGCCGCCCCCGAAAUGCAGUGGCGACCCCGCCGCAGCCUCCCCUGCGUAGUAGCACACACCUCGCACCGGAGCGCGGAGGCGGUCACGCCGUAAAACGCCCAACUUCUUAGAGUUGACCUCGGAUCAGGUAGGAAUACCCGCUGAACUUAAGCAUAUCAAUAAGCGGAGGA
Molecule: unclassified non-coding RNA, 342 nt
Filed under: soil metagenome
Description: partial contains 5.8S ribosomal RNA, internal transcribed spacer 2, and large subunit ribosomal RNA
Rfam family: 5.8S ribosomal RNA (bases 1-120)
Source: RNAcentral